UCAAAUCCGCUGGAAAUGAUGGAAGUGAUGCACUGCGGCAGUCAUAUCGCUGUCUCCUCUCAUUUUCCAACGAUGUUUAUUAAAAUAAACCGCACUCCACAGUGGAAUUGUUGUUUGUUAACUGCGAAUAUUAUGAAUGAGAUUGGAAAAUAUCCGUACGUCUGACGUCAUUGAAUGAAGAAGUAGCGAAUUGCAACACGGAGAGAGGCAGAGCGUACGGAUCGAUUUCGCACACGAAGCAGCCAAGAACACAGAUGAGUUGCUAGUAGUCGCAGUCGCCUUCGCUUGAUCAGGACGAGUCCAUUUCACUGUUCACUGCUCAAGAUGAUUUCUUUUCUGAUUUUGUCCAUGCAUGUGUACCUAAUGCUACAGUAUUUACCAAAGCCCGCAGACUCGAACAAUAUUUCAUCUUUAUCAGCAGAAAUGACUCGAUUGAAAGAUGAAUGUGAUCACCGCGAGAAAAAUCUCACAUUAACAAUUUGUGAGCUUCGUGUCGAGGUCAACCUGCUGAAUAAACAGCUGGAAGCUGAACGUAAUAAAAGUGAUACUUGGAGAGAUGCAGUUGCUGUGCUGAGAAAGGAGAAUGAAGAUCUGGCGAAGUAUUGGUCCGUGGUUCAAGCAAGGAGUGCCAUAGAGUACUUUGAAGACACUUUCGGUUUGGAUUCAGAAAUUGGUACAAAGCAAGUAACGGAAAUGCAGGAGUUGAUUGAGAAGAGUGGUGCUAUAGAGAAAACACGAGGAGAAAGAAUAUACCAAGAAAAAGUUUAUAAACGAUUAAAGAUAUUUCGUCGGGCAGCACUGUGGUACAAGAUACUGCGAAGUACGAAUACAAUUUUUCCCACUAAAAAAUUAGAGACUUUGAUUGAAACGAAUAGUGAAGAACCAAAAUCCGUACCGCAGUUUUGUUUGUGUAUUGCCCAAGCGUACAAAGAUCUGUCUCAGGCAUUGAUUCAUCCGGCUAUUUUCAAGAGACCUGCUGGUUUGGGGAUACACGAUAUGAACUUGCCCCAUGUAGUUGGAUGCACGAGCGAAGCUGUGAAGCUUUUGUUAUCUCUUUACACGCUCAAUCCACCUGCGAGAAGCACCGACACUUCCUAAAGUAAUUGGUAUAUUCUUGUGUCACAUCGUCUAAAAGGGACCCUUUUAAAGCAGGUAUAUUUACUGUUGGACGUUUUUUUUCAAUAAAUUUGAAUACAAGAUCUGUAAGUAUCUAACGCGUUUCUGAUUUUCCUCCUUCCCUCUUUUAAAUGUCCAAUU
RNAcentral lists this long non-coding RNA (1257 nucleotides) under Bemisia tabaci. Its description in RNAcentral is "lncRNA ENSSSA3NGG007745". Lineage: Eukaryota; Metazoa; Arthropoda; Insecta; Hemiptera; Aleyrodidae. The record is from RNAcentral.